This 392-nucleotide ribosomal RNA is filed under the name uncultured bacterium. RNAcentral's name for it is "partial 16S ribosomal RNA". It matches the Rfam family "Bacterial small subunit ribosomal RNA", at positions 523 to 918 of the family's 1533-position model. The record is from RNAcentral.
AUACGGAGGAUGCGAGCGUUAUCCGGAUUUAUUGGGUUUAAAGGGAGCGUAGGCGGGAGCUUAAGUCAGCGGUUAAAUGGUGCGGCUCAACCGUGCCCUGCCGUUGAAACUGGGUUUCUUGAGAGUGCAAGAGGCGGAUGGAAUUCAUGGUGUAGCGGUGGAAUGCGUAGAGAUCAUGAAGAACUCCGAUUGCGAAGGCAGGCCGCUGGUGCACGUCUGACGCUGAUGCUCGAAGGUGCGGGAAUCAAACAGGAUUAGAUACCCUGGUAGUCCGCACGGUAAACGAUGAUUACCCGCUGUCGGCGGCAGACAGUCGGCGGCCAAGCGAAAGCGAUAAGUAAUCCACCUGGGGAGUACGCCGGCAACGGUGAAACUCAAAUGAAUUGACGGGG